RNAcentral lists this transfer RNA (87 nucleotides) under Candidatus Doudnaibacteriota bacterium. RNAcentral describes it as "Candidatus Doudnabacteria bacterium tRNA-Leu". It matches the Rfam family "tRNA". Rfam says of the family: Transfer RNA (tRNA) molecules are approximately 80 nucleotides in length. The record is from RNAcentral. Lineage: Bacteria; Candidatus Doudnaibacteriota.
GCCGAGGUGGCGGAACUGGUAGACGCGCGGGACUCAAAAUCCCGUGGUGGCAACACCGUGAGGGUUCAAGUCCCUCCCUCGGUACCA